UGGGUGAUCUGCCCUGCACUUCGGGAUAAGCCUGGGAAACUGGGUCUAAUACCGGAUAUACCUCAUUGAUCUCCUGGUUGGUGGGGGAAAGCUUUUGCGGUGUGGGAUGGGCCCGCGGCCUAUCAGCUUGUUGGUGAGGUUACGGCUCACCAAGGCGUCGACGGGUAGCCGGCCUGAGAGGGUGUCCGGCCACACUGGGACUGAGAUACGGCCCAGACUCCGUACGGGAGGCAG
RNAcentral lists this ribosomal RNA (234 nucleotides) under uncultured bacterium. RNAcentral's name for it is "partial 16S ribosomal RNA". It matches the Rfam family "Bacterial small subunit ribosomal RNA", at positions 118 to 351 of the family's 1533-position model. The record is from RNAcentral.